AUUGAACGCUGGCGGCAUGCCUUACACAUGCAGUCGAACGGCAGCACGGGUGCUUGCACCUGGUGGCGAGUGGCGAACGGGUGAGUAAUAUAUCGGAACGUACCCUAUUGUGGGGGAUAACGCAGCGAAAGCUGUGCUAAUACCGCAUAAUCCCUAAGGGGGAAAGCGGGGGACCGUAAGGCCUCGCGCAAUUAGAGCGGCCGAUACCUGAUUAGCUAGUUGGUGAGGUAAAGGCUCACUAAGGCAACGAUCAGUAGCUGGUCUGAGAGGACGAUCAGCCACACUGGGACUGAGAAACGGCCCAGACUCCUACAGGAGGCAGCAGUGGGGAAUUUUGGACAAUGGGGGCAACCCUGAUCCAGCAAUGCCGCGUGAGGGAAGAAGGCCUUCGGGUUGUAAAGCUCUUUUGUCGGGGAAGAAACAGCAGCUCUAACACAGUUUGCGAAUGACGGUACCUGAAGAAUAAGCACCGGCUAACUACGUGCCAGCAGCCGCCGUAA
Molecule: ribosomal RNA, 500 nt
Filed under: uncultured bacterium
Lineage: Bacteria
Description: partial 16S ribosomal RNA
Rfam family: Bacterial small subunit ribosomal RNA
Source: RNAcentral